This 274-nucleotide ribosomal RNA is filed under the name uncultured bacterium. Its description in RNAcentral is "partial 16S ribosomal RNA". It matches the Rfam family "Bacterial small subunit ribosomal RNA", at positions 523 to 796 of the family's 1533-position model. The record is from RNAcentral.
AUACGGAGGGUGCAAGCGUUACGCGGAAUCACUGGGCGUAAAGCGCGCGCAGGCGGCUAUUUAAGUUGGAUGUGAAAGCCUAUGGCUCAACCAUAGAACUGCAUCCAAAACUAUUUAGCUAGAGUGUGGGAGAGGAAGAUGGAAUUAGUUGUGUAGGGGUAAAAUCCGUAGAGAUAACUAGGAAUACCAAAAGCGAAGGCAAUCUUCUGGAACACUACUGACGCUGCGGCGCGAAAGCGUGGGGAGCAAACAGGAUUAGAAACCCUAGUAGUCC